This 254-nucleotide ribosomal RNA is filed under the name uncultured bacterium. RNAcentral's name for it is "partial 16S ribosomal RNA". It matches the Rfam family "Bacterial small subunit ribosomal RNA", at positions 524 to 776 of the family's 1533-position model. The record is from RNAcentral.
UACGGGGGGAGCAAGCGUUGUUCGGAUUUACUGGGCGUAAAGGGCGCGUAGGCGGUCAGCACAAGUCAGUUGUGAAAUCUCCGGGCUUAACCCGGAAAGGUCAACUGAUACUGUGCGACUAGAGUGCGGAAGGGGCAACUGGAAUUCUCGGUGUAGCGGUGAAAUGCGUAGAUAUCGAGAGGAACACCUGCGGCGAAGGCGGCGACCUGGGUCGAUACUGACGCUGAUGCGCGAAAGCGUGGGGAGCAAACAGG